This 651-nucleotide ribosomal RNA is filed under the name Triticum aestivum (bread wheat). Its description in RNAcentral is "partial small subunit ribosomal RNA". The record is from RNAcentral. Lineage: Eukaryota; Viridiplantae; Streptophyta; Magnoliopsida; Poales; Poaceae.
AUGGGCGCCCACCCUUACGUGCCGGCGAGCCUGGACCUCCCGGGCUACGUGCCGCUGCGCCUCACCCAGCUCGAGAUCCUCGGGGCCUACCUCGGCACCUCCCUCUUCGUCCUCGUCGCCGUCUGGCUCCUCUCCGGGAGAUGCCGCAGGUUGUCCGGCACCGACCGCCUGCUCAUGUGCUGGUGGGCGUUCACCGGCCUCACCCACAUACUCAUCGAGGGCCCCUUCGUCUUCACCCCCGAUUUCUUCACCAAGACCAACCCCAACUUCUUCGACGAAGUCUGGAAGGAGUACAGCAAGGGUGACUCCAGGUACGUCGCCAGGGACACCGCCACCGUCACCGUCGAAGGAAUCACGGCCGUGCUGAAAGGCCCUGCCUCGCUGCUCGCAGUCUAUGCCAUUGCAUCACGCAAGUCCUACAGCCACAUCCUCCAGUUCGCCGUGUGCCUCGGUCAGCUCUACGGAUGCAUCGUCUACUUCACCACCGCCUACUUGGACGGCUUCAACUUCUGGGCCAGUCCGUUCUACUUCUGGGCAUAUUUCAUCGGCGCAAACAGUUCAUGGGUUGUGAUACCGUUGCUGAUCGCCACAAGGAGCUGGAAGAGGAUCUGCGCAGCGAUUCAUCAAAGUGAGAAGAUCAAGACUAAGUAA